Long non-coding RNA from Xenopus tropicalis (tropical clawed frog), 2064 nucleotides. RefSeq lists it as uncharacterized. Lineage: Eukaryota; Metazoa; Chordata; Amphibia; Anura; Pipidae. The record is from RefSeq and is a predicted model, not a curated record. The transcript has 2 exons.
AAAAAUUCGCGGGGGGUGUGAUGAUUGGGCCGCUGUGAAAAAAUAAUUGCUGAUUGGUUGUAAGCUAAAUAACCCGCGCGAUUUGAAAAUCUACAAAGUAAUACUAAGGCGAAAACAAAAGCGGGAGGAUAAUGAUAGUAAAUAGUUAUGUUGGGGGUGUAUGGAUUCGGGGUUUAGAGGUAGGUUUUUGGAUCAAGACAAUAAGACGCACAAUAGCUUCUGCGUGCCAUUACGGGUUAAUGCAGACAUUUCGGUAUUUGGAGCAGACAGAUAUGUGACUGGCAGCGUUACAGUCCAAGCUUCGGCUUCCUCAGGGAUACCGGGAGGGAAGUGAAAGCGCUGCGGACGGUAGCCUGUCCUAUUGGCGAGCGCUUCCCCUGCCCACAUAUCCGUGCUACAGGCAGCUGUGUGCGCACAAUAAUGCCGCAUGGAGUGGGGGAUCCCAUUCCUCAUACUCCUAUUAGUAAGUGCAGCCCUACAGACUAUACGCGGGCUCUCAGCGGGGGACACAUGGCCAGUAAUAGUAGCAAUGAGUCGCACUAGCCUCGCACAAUGGCUACAAGCCCUCCCGCCAUUAUUGCACAUCAUUUCAUUACUCGCACAUCCAAACGGGACGGCUGCUCUUUAGGAAACCGCAUUAUUACUGAGGGCGAGUGUUCGCUUUCUCUUCUCGCCGCAUUUCCCGCCUAUUUGCAGCUUUGACUCCAUGUUGGCGGAGCAGUGAGUGGAUCCCACAUGAUAUCCGUCUCGCCUCCCCAUGGCACAAAGGCGACGCUUUCUCUAUACGCGCUGCAUUCUCUGCUAGUCAGGGCCAUGUGUAGGGGAAGGCGGACCCUGAUUUCUAGAUCCUCAGCUAUGGCACUGAGACUCACUGUGCUAAUGCGUUCCACCAUAGGUUGUGUUUGGAGCCGUUUUCUCCUAUAAUAAAGGUUAAUGGCACACUGGAUAUUUUCUUUUUUAUCAGCAAAAGGCAGGCGGGCAUCUAUGUUGUGAAGCUACAAACAUUAUAACCAUUUGGAUUCUUAUACCGGUUUGGGUAGUUAGGUGCCUGCAUUCCUAUGGUACCCGCAGUCUAGUUGUUAGGGAUCACUAACUGCCUGCUGCUGGCACCCAAACAUUCUUGGGGUUCUGGGGUUUGUAGAUCUAACAAGGUGGGAUCCCAUGUAGCCCACUCCUGGCAUGUACAUGAAUAUCUCUCAUUAUAUUGACUUAUUAACCCACUUUAUGAAGUGUAGUUUACAUGACCCACUAUAUGGGAACAGGACAGUUGGGGGCUAGAUCAUUAGCAGCUGUUGGAGAAGGGGAUGCCGUACAUUACUGCAUGGGAGAGCAUUGUCUGCAGGGUUACAAUAAGCCAUGCUUGCCUACGGAAUCCUCCCCUUCCCUCCCCCCUUACAUUGUUAUGGGAGACUUUUAUAUUCAGGAUAGCUACAACUCAUGGCAUCACUCCCUCUACUGGGACACAAUAAUGGGAUCUUUUGCUUUCUUUACUUUUGCACUUUCAGGUUCCUACCAAUCAAGCCCUAUUCCUCCUACUUUUGUUCUUUCAUCAUUUACAAUCCCCACUGAUAUCCUUAGUGUACCCAGGGAAGGAAAAAAACCAAGGGCUAAGCAGCAAUGCUUGCUGUGAGUUGUGUGAAGCAUUUCUUUUUUAACAGGAAAUCCUAUUUGUAUCCAUUUCUUAUUCCCUCAUAGAAACUGGAAACUCUUUCACAAGCUUUGUGGUUUUCUAGAAAUGUGAUUCUUUUUAACAUUAUGCAAGAGUGCAGCAUCUCAUGUGCAGCCUGUAGCUGUAAGCAAUAUGUAGCUAAGAUUGUAAUAUUCAUUCAUUAUAACAAUGCUUUAUAACUAAGUGCACAUAUUUUUGUAUUAAAAUUGCCCAUAGGGUAUGAUGUUUGUGUUGUAAUAGCUAAAGCAGAUUUAUUUGCAAUACUUAGGGGCCCAAUUACUAAAUCCCAAUUAAAUAUUUGAGAGAAAUUCAUAUUUUUUCUAACUCAUAGAACAUUUUGUAACGUUAACGAUAAUUUCAUUAAAGUUCCACAACUUUUUUGUAGUUUUUGCUAA